CGCGGCCUAUCAGCUUGUUGGUGAGGUAACGGCUCGCCAAGGCAACGACGGGUAGCUGGUCUGAGAGGACGAUCAGCCACACUGGAACUGAGAUACGGUCCAGACUCCUACGGGAGGCAGCAGCAGGGAAUCUUGCGCAAUGGGCGAAAGCCUGACGCAGCGACGCCGCGUGGGGGAUGAAGGCCUUAGGGUUGUAAACCCCUUUCACGAGGGAAGAAGAUGACGGUACCUCGAGAAGAAGCCCCGGCCAACUACGUGCCAGCAGCCGCGGUAAGACGUGGGGGGCGAGCGUUGUCCGGAUUUAUUGGGCGUAAAGGGCUCGUAGGCGGCUUGACAAGUCGGCCGUGAAAACCCAGGGCUCAACCCUGGGACGCCGGUCGAUACUGUCAUGGCUAGGGUCCGGUAGAGGGGAAUGGAAUUCCCGGUGUAGCGGUGAAAUGCGCAGAUAUCGGGAGGAACACCAGUAGCGAAGGCGGUUCCCUGGGCCGGUACCGACGCUGAGGAGCGAAAGCGUGGGUAGCAAACAGGAUUAGAUACCCUGGUAGUCCACGCCGUAAACGUUGGGUACUAGGCGUGGCGUCUUAUCAACGGAUGCCGUGCUCGAAGCUAACGCGUUAAGUACCCCGCCUGGGGAGUACGG
RNAcentral lists this ribosomal RNA (640 nucleotides) under uncultured Actinomycetes bacterium. RNAcentral's name for it is "bacterial SSU rRNA". It matches the Rfam family "Bacterial small subunit ribosomal RNA", at positions 232 to 885 of the family's 1533-position model. The record is from RNAcentral. Lineage: Bacteria; Bacillati; Actinomycetota; Actinomycetes.